Molecule: unclassified non-coding RNA, 231 nt
Filed under: Rhodotorula babjevae
Lineage: Eukaryota; Fungi; Basidiomycota; Microbotryomycetes; Sporidiobolales; Sporidiobolaceae
Description: partial internal transcribed spacer region
Rfam family: Eukaryotic small subunit ribosomal RNA (bases 1-48)
Source: RNAcentral
AAAAGUCGUAACAAGGUUUCCGUAGGUGAACCUGCGGAAGGAUCAUUAGUGAAUCUAGGACGUCCAACUUAACUUGGAGUCCGAACUCUCACUUUCUAACCCUGUGCAUCUGUUAAUUGGAAUAGUAGCUCUUCGGAGUGAACCACCAUUCACUUAUAAAACACAAAGUCUAUGAAUGUAUACAAAUUUAUAACAAAACAAAACUUUCAACAACGGAUCUCUUGGCUCUCG